UACGGAAGGCAGCAGUGGGGAAUAUUGCACAAUGGGCGCAAGCCUGAUGCAGCCAUGCCGCGUGUAUGAAGAAGGCCUUCGGGUUGUAAAGUACUUUCAGUCGUGAGGAAGGUGUUAAGGUUAAUAACCUUAGCAAUUGACGUUAGCGACAGAAGAAGCACCGGCUAACUCCGUGCCAGCAGCCGCGGUAAUACGGAGGGUGCGAGCGUUAAUCGGAAUUACUGGGCGUAAAGGGCACGCAGGCGGUUAAUUAAGUUGGAUGUGAAAUCCCCGGGCUUAACCUGGGAAUGGCAUUCAAGACUGGUUAGCUAGAGUCUUGUAGAGGGGGUAGAAUUCCAUGUGUAGCGGUGAAAUGCGUAGAGAUGUGGAGGAAUACCGGUGGCGAAGGCGGCCCCUGGGACAAAGACUGACGCUCAUGUGCGAAAGCGUGGGGAGCAAACAGGGAUUAGAUAC
This 453-nucleotide ribosomal RNA is filed under the name uncultured bacterium. Its description in RNAcentral is "bacterial SSU rRNA". It matches the Rfam family "Bacterial small subunit ribosomal RNA", at positions 340 to 785 of the family's 1533-position model. The record is from RNAcentral.